RNAcentral lists this long non-coding RNA (211 nucleotides) under Elaeis guineensis (African oil palm). RNAcentral's name for it is "long non-coding RNA (EGUI_LNC040587)". The record is from RNAcentral. Lineage: Eukaryota; Viridiplantae; Streptophyta; Magnoliopsida; Arecales; Arecaceae.
UCUCAGGAUUGGGCAGCUCUGACAGAUCAAGUUGUGGGUAUAAAAUUCGAAUUACAUUCUGACAAAAGUUGUAGCCGGAAUGGCACCCGACAGCAAAGGAUAUGUGGACCGUUGACUGGCAAUUGUCCAUUAGCUGCUCAUGAGAUCAAGAAUAAGAAGCUCUUCCUCUUCCCGCCAAAGAUCAGCCUUCUAGUUUUCUCUCUCCUGACUG